Molecule: ribosomal RNA, 122 nt
Filed under: Perkinsela sp. CCAP 1560/4
Lineage: Eukaryota; Euglenozoa; Kinetoplastea; Prokinetoplastida; Perkinselidae
Source: RNAcentral
GGAGGCGACCAGUUAGUAAGCAAAAAAGGCCGCCGANCCGUCCGAUCUGUGAAGUUAAGCCUGAUCAGGCCAAGUUAGUAUUGAGGUAAGUGAUUACUCGAGAACCCUUGGUGUUGUAUUCU